This 77-nucleotide transfer RNA is filed under the name Actinoplanes sp. N902-109. RNAcentral's name for it is "tRNA-Ile". It matches the Rfam family "tRNA". Rfam says of the family: Transfer RNA (tRNA) molecules are approximately 80 nucleotides in length. The record is from RNAcentral. Lineage: Bacteria; Bacillati; Actinomycetota; Actinomycetes; Micromonosporales; Micromonosporaceae.
AUCGCCGUAGCUCAGACGGUGAGAGCGCCGCCCUGAUAAGGCGGAGGUCGCUGGUUCGAGUCCAGCCGGCGAUACGA